CUGACCCGCUGGAAACGCAUCUGUCCCAGGUGCCCGCCGCUCCCACCUUAUGGCGGUUUCUCUGCGCUUUCAUCUCCAGGUUUUAUUCAAGAGGGCCCCCACACUCCCAGGUUGCUCUUCCAUGAGUGCAAGGACACAGUGUGGGGCACCGAGCUCAAGACGGCCCCUGGACCUGGAUGCCGGCAAACAGACCCAGGACAAGACCAGAAAACUUGAUUUGUUUACGUGAUGGAAUGACUGCUCCAAG
Equus quagga is the source of this 247-nucleotide long non-coding RNA. RefSeq lists it as uncharacterized. NCBI's taxonomy places the organism in Eukaryota, Metazoa, Chordata, Mammalia, Perissodactyla, Equidae. The record is from RefSeq and is a predicted model, not a curated record. The transcript has 3 exons.